Molecule: ribosomal RNA, 305 nt
Filed under: uncultured bacterium
Lineage: Bacteria
Description: partial 16S ribosomal RNA
Rfam family: Bacterial small subunit ribosomal RNA
Source: RNAcentral
ACAGCAGCAGCCGCGGUAAUACGAAGGGGGCUAGCGUUGCUCGGAAUUACUGGGCGUAAAGGGAGCGUAGGCGGAUCGUUAAGUUGGGGGUGAAAGCCCGGGGCUCAACCUCGGAAUUGCCUUCAAUACUGGCGAUCUUGAGUAUGGAAGAGGUAUGUGGAACUCCGAGUGUAGAGGUGAAAUUCGUAGAUAUUGGGAAGAACACCGGUGGCGAAGGCGGCGACCUGGUCCUUGACUGACGCUGAGGCGCGAAAGCGUGGGGAGCAAACAGGAUUAGAUACCCCGGUAGUCCCUGUCUCUUAUAC